This is a long non-coding RNA of Anguilla anguilla (European eel), 856 nucleotides long. RefSeq lists it as uncharacterized. The transcript has 2 exons. NCBI's taxonomy places the organism in Eukaryota, Metazoa, Chordata, Actinopteri, Anguilliformes, Anguillidae. The record is from RefSeq and is a predicted model, not a curated record.
AAUGGGGAAGAAAGGUUAUUUAAGUGACUUUGAACGGGGCAUGGUUGUUGGUGCCAGACGGGCUCGUUUGAGUAUUUCAGAAACUGCUGAUCUACUGGGAUUUUUUGGGGGUUUACAGUGAAUGAUCCGAAAAAAAGAAAAUACCCAGUGAGCCGCAGUUCUCUGAGCGAAAAUGCCUUGUUGAUGGAAGAGGUCAGGCUGGUUCGAGCUGAUAGAAAGGGAACAGUAACUCAAAUAACCACUCGUUACAACCGAGGUAUGCAGAAGAGCAUCUCUGAACGCACACCACGUCAAACCUUGAAGCAGGUGGGCUACAGCAGCAGAAGACCACACCGGGCGCCACUCCUGUCGCCUAAUGAAGUGGUCGUGUGUGUGUGCGCGCAUGGUGUUUGCUUUUGUUUCAGGUUCCUGGUUCCCACCCACGCUCCGCCCCCAUUCCUGCCUGUCUGCCUCAGCCGAAUUAUUCAAUCAAGCCUCAGCCGCCGUCUCCACCUGCAACUCAUCUUUUACUCAUUUUCUCUAGCUAUAUAUUCUGUUAGUCUGUGCCGGAUCGUGCCUUUGUCUGACUUAGUGCCGUUGAAGCCUUGUUCUAUGCCUAGUAAUACUUCCCGGUUUUGUACUUUUGCGUGUUCGCCAUUUAUGCAUUUAGCCUGACUCCUCUGAAUACUGUUGCUUCGGUUUUUUGAAUUCUUGCCUGUCUUGCUGUUCUUGCCUCUGUACCAGUUGUGUGCCUUCGCCUGCCUGGAAAUUUUUGACUUUUUGGAUUUUUGACCUCCGCCUGGAUUGUGGUUUACGAGACUGUUCGCUGAUUCUGUUGCUUCGUUGUUUGAUAAUAAACUGCCAAGUUUUUCCCUGA